UGGGGAAUAUUGCACAAUGGGCGCAAGCCUGAUGCAGCCAUGCCGCGUGUGUGAAGAAGGCCUUCGGGUUGUAAAGCACUUUCAGCGGGGAGGAAGGCGAUAAGGUUAAUAACCUUGUCGAUUGACGUUACCCGCAGAAGAAGCACCGGCUAACUCCGUGCCAGCAGCCGCGGUAAUACGGAGGGUGCAAGCGUUAAUCGGAAUUACUGGGCGUAAAGCGCACGCAGGCGGUCUGUCAAGUCGGAUGUGAAAUCCCCGGGCUUAACCUGGGAACUGCAUUCGAAACUGGCAGGCUAGAGUCUUGUAGAGGGGGGUAGAAUUCCAGGUGUAGCGGUGAAAUGCGUAGAGAUCUGGAGGAAUACCGGUGGCGAAGGCGGCCCCCUGGACAAAGACUGACGCUCAGGUGCCAAAGCGUGGGGAGCAAACAGG
RNAcentral lists this ribosomal RNA (429 nucleotides) under Chloroflexota bacterium. Its description in RNAcentral is "Chloroflexi bacterium partial 16S ribosomal RNA". It matches the Rfam family "Bacterial small subunit ribosomal RNA", at positions 355 to 776 of the family's 1533-position model. The record is from RNAcentral. Lineage: Bacteria; Bacillati; Chloroflexota.